UCCGAUUCCUACGGGAGGCAGCAGUGGGGAAUAUUGGACAAUGGGCGCAAGCCUGAUCCAGCCAUGCCGCGUGUGUGAAGAAGGCCUUAGGGUUGUAAAGCACUUUCAGUGGGGAGAAAGGUCAUUCACCUAAUACGUGAGUGAAUUGAUGUUACCCACAGAAGAAGCACCGGCUAACUCCGUGCCAGCAGCCGCGGUAAUACGGAGGGUGCAAGCGUUAAUCGGAAUUACUGGGCGUAAAGCGCACGUAGGUGGUUUGUUAAGCUAGCUGUGAAAUCCCCGGGCUCAACCUGGGCACUGCAGUUAGAACUGGCAAGCUAGAGUAGGGUAGAGGGGUGUGGAAUUCCAGGUGUAGCGGUGAAAUGCGUAGAUAUCUGGAGGAACAUCAGUGGCGAAGGCGACACCCUGGACUCAUACUGACACUGAGGUGCGAAAGCGUGGGGAGCAAACUGGAUUAGAUACCCUGGUAGUCCACUCCAUAAACGAUGUCUACUACCCAUUGGGAGCCUUGAUCUCUUAGUGUCGCAACUAACGCACUACGUAGACCGCCUGGGGAGUACGGUCGCAAAAUUAAAACUCAGAUGAAUUGACUGGGGCCCGGGGAGGGGAUGGAACAUGUGUUUUUAUUAGACGCAAUGCCAAUAGCCAUACC
This 652-nucleotide ribosomal RNA is filed under the name uncultured Cellvibrio sp. RNAcentral's name for it is "bacterial SSU rRNA". It matches the Rfam family "Bacterial small subunit ribosomal RNA", at positions 331 to 975 of the family's 1533-position model. Lineage: Bacteria; Pseudomonadati; Pseudomonadota; Gammaproteobacteria; Cellvibrionales; Cellvibrionaceae. The record is from RNAcentral.